AGUUGAAGGGGCGGAGCUGGUAGGAGCGACACCGCGUGCAGUGGAUGAAGGCCCUAGGGUUGUAAACUCGCUGUCACGCUAUAAAGAACCCACGGUCGUUAAUAGCUUCCGUGCUGACCAAAGCGAGAGGAAGCGCCGGCUAACUCCGUGCCAGCAGCCGCGGUAAUACGGAGGGCGCAAGCGUAGUUCGGAUUUACUGGGCAUAAAGAGCACGUAGGCGGCUCGCUCAGUCGGGUGUGAAAGCCCACGGCCCAACCGUGGAACUGCACCCGAUACUGGCGAGCUCGAGGACGGAAGGGGUGAGUGGAACUCCAGGUGGAACGGUGAAAUGUAUAGAUAUCUGGAGGAACACCGGUGGCGAAAGCGGCUCACUGGUCCGUCUCUGACGCUGAGGUGCGAAAGCUAGGGUAGCGAACGGGAUUAGAUACCCCGGUAGUCCUAGCCGUAAACGAUGGGCACUAGGCAAUGGGCCCUCCUAUGAGGUUCAUUGCCGGAGCUAAUGUGUUAAGUGCCCCGCCUGGGGAGUACGCUCGCAAGGGUAAAACUCAAAGGAAUUGACGGA
RNAcentral lists this ribosomal RNA (562 nucleotides) under uncultured bacterium. Its description in RNAcentral is "bacterial SSU rRNA". It matches the Rfam family "Bacterial small subunit ribosomal RNA", at positions 365 to 917 of the family's 1533-position model. The record is from RNAcentral.